GCGGCAGGCUUAACACAUGCAAGUCGAGGGGCAGCGGGGAGGAAGCUUGCUUUCUCCGCCGGCGACCGGCGCACGGGUGAGUAACACGUAUGCAACCUGCCCCUGUCAGGGGGACAACCCGCCGAAAGGCGGGCUAAACCCGCGUACAUGCCACCGGGGCAUCCCGGAGGCAGGAAAGGCUUCGGCCGGACAGGGAUGGGCAUGCGGCGCAUUAGGCAGUAGGCGGGGUAACGGCCCACCUAACCGACGAUGCGUAGGGGUUCUGAGAGGAAGGUCCCCCACACUGGUACUGAGACACGGACCAGACUCCUACGGGAGGCAGCAGUGAGGAAUAUUGGUCAAUGGUCGGGAGACUGAACCAGCCAAGCCGCGUGAGGGAGGAAGGUACAGAGUAUCGUAAACCUCUUUUGUCAGGGAACAAAGGCGGGGACGUGUCCCCGGAUGAGUGUACCUGAAGAAAAAGCAUCGGCUAACUCCGUGCCAGCAGCCGCGGUAAUACGGAGGAUGCGAGCGUUAUCCGGAUUUAUUGGGUUUAAAGGGUGCGCAGGCGGUCUGUUAAGUCAGCGGUCAAAGCCCGGGGCUCAACCCCGGCCCGCCGUUGAAACUGGCAGUCUCGAGUUGGAGAGAAGUAUGCGGAAUGCGCGGUGUAGCGGUGAAAUGCAUAGAUAUCGCGCAGAACUCCGAUUGCGAAGGCAGCAUGCCGGCUCCACACUGACGCUGAGGCACGAAAGCGUGGGUAUCGAACAGGAUUAGAUACCCUGGUAGUCCACGCAGUAAACGAUGAAUGCUGGCUGUCCGGGGGGAUUGACCCCUGGGUGGCGAAGCGAAAGCGAUAAGCAUUCCACCUGGGGAGUACGCCGGCAACGGUGAAACUCAAAGGAAUUGACGGGGGCCCGCACAAGCGGAGGAACAUGUGGUUUAAUUCGAUGAUACGCGAGGAACCUUACCCGGGCUCAAACGGGGAGUGACUCAGGCAGAGACGCCUGUUUCCCACGGGACACUCCCCGAGGUGCUGCAUGGUUGUCGUCAGCUCGUGCCGUGAGGUGUCGGCUUAAGUGCCAUAACGAGCGCAACCCCCGCGUGCAGUUGCUAACAGAUAACGCUGAGGACUCUGCACGGACUGCCGGCGCAAGCCGCGAGGAAGGCGGGGAUGACGUCAAAUCAGCACGGCCCUUACGUCCGGGGCGACACACGUGUUACAAUGGGUGGUACAGCGGGAAGCCAGGCGGCGACGCCGAGCGGAACCCGAAAUCCACUCUCAGUUCGGAUCGGAGUCUGCAACCCGACUCCGUGAAGCUGGAUUCGCUAGUAAUCGCGAAUCAGCCAUGGCGCGGUGAAUACGUUCCCGGGC
This 1351-nucleotide ribosomal RNA is filed under the name uncultured bacterium. RNAcentral describes it as "partial 16S ribosomal RNA". It matches the Rfam family "Bacterial small subunit ribosomal RNA", at positions 39 to 1379 of the family's 1533-position model. The record is from RNAcentral.